GGGAGAAGGCGGACAGCUGACGCCCCUGUAGGGGUGAGGAAAGUCCCCCCUCCAUAGAGUAGGAGGAACGGCGCAAGCCGUUACGGCGAGAGUCGUGGAAACGGAGCAGAAACGACACAGCCCUAUGAUACAGUGAUUCUGUGAAGAUGAGGUUUCAUAGGGAUAUGGUGAAACGGCCAUCCACUCUGGAGCAAGCCUAAACGUUGGGAUGACUGCUCAGGACCAAAGGUAAGGCGCUUAGUCGAAUGCUGUCAGAUAAAACAGAAGGGGGCUUACUACCUUCACCC
This 287-nucleotide RNase P RNA is filed under the name Euryarchaeota archaeon CG01_land_8_20_14_3_00_38_12. RNAcentral's name for it is "RNase P RNA component". It matches the Rfam family "Archaeal RNase P". Rfam says of the family: Ribonuclease P (RNase P) is a ubiquitous endoribonuclease, found in archaea, bacteria and eukarya as well as chloroplasts and mitochondria. Its best characterised activity is the generation of mature 5'-ends of tRNAs by cleaving the 5'-leader elements of precursor-tRNAs. The record is from RNAcentral. Lineage: Archaea; Methanobacteriati; Methanobacteriota.